CACCCCGCUGGUCAUUUACCUUCCGUACAUCUGUCAAACCCUUACUGACUUUCCUUGUCCAUAACUUUCUCCUCUUUUGUUUACUCCUUUGGAACUGCCAUGUUAGGGCUUUAGGAGUAUCAAUAAACACAUUUCAAGCCACCAUAUUUAACUAGAAGUAUGUUGGCCUUCUUUAUAAUUUUGGAUUAUAUUUUGAUUCUUUAGGUCUGCCUUUCCACAGAAAGUUGGGAAAUAGAAAUUCUGACUUUUUCAGCUGCAUUACAAAGCAUAAACAUGAAGGUAUGAGGACAACCUUCGCAGAGUGCCAGGGUGGCUUGUGCUUACAGCCAUGGAUUCAUUCCUCAAGGAUUCACAUGGAUCUGAACACCCUGCAUCAUCUGCUAGAGAUUUAUUACAACAUGGCUCAGGAAAACAGGUUACAGGACCCUUUUAAAAGGGAGUACUGCCUCUUGAUGGAACCCCAGCUGUAACACUAAGUGGGUAGCAAUUCCCUCUAGACAUAUUAAAGUUCCAGAGCUUCUGCUGUUAAUAUGACACCAGAUCCUUCUGUAUUUUUCUAAAUGUCAAUAAAUGAAACAACCCCCCCCCAAACAUGAUAUGAACAAGCAUUCAAAGGCAUAAAAUUGAUACAUGAUUUAAGAUUUGCAAAUGUGCUAAAAUAUUUUUUUUUCAAAUAUAUCCAUCCAAUCAAUCAUUAGGUUAAAAGGCAUGUUUCAAUGCAUUGCUGAAGGUUUGUUACAAAAAUCUAUAACCCACCUCCACUGUAAUCAGGAGACUGAGUUAACUAUAUUAAGUCUGUAUUUCUAAUAUUCUCAGACAAGGUGUGAGAAUGAUGCUAGAAUAAAGCCAAUAUAUUGUGACAAUGCUCAUAGUCUCAUCAAUAAAUAUAUUUUCAACAUUUAAACAGAUUUUUUUUUAAUAUAACCUGUUGACAGAAAAUUAUCUCCAUAAUUAUUUUAAAAGAAAUAGCAUUUUCAAGUGACAAAGGUGUGAGUGUAAUUUUUCUUCAGGAUCACCAACACAGAUACGUUGGAGGACUUUUACUCCAGGACUGCUUUCUGGGUCUAGGCUAGAGAACUGCCUCAAAGUUCAUUUUGGUACAUUAGCCAUUCACGUACCAGUGAAGACCUGUCUUAUACAGAAUCACACUUACAGAGUACUGUAAACUGGGAUCCAACAUAUCUACCUUCAUUCAAGCCCACAGCAGUCCUGCUGAGAAUUCAUGUCGGCUCCAUGCAUUCUUCAGGACUCCAUUACAGCAAAAUCGGCACCUAGAGCUACAUACAUAUGUUUAAAAUUUUAUUGACAAUAACGAAGGCUGUCUCCGGAAAUUCAACUCAAAGCAUGUGAAGAGUGAAAUGCCAGUCAAAGAGGCUUUUCUGCCUGUCUACUUUCUGCACAUUUGUAGAGCAUGUUUUUCUCCCACUGUGGAACAUAAAAAUAAAAACUUUAAUGGUCUGUGUUAGCAGGACUUAAGAUCUGCAUCCCUACUAUUGAAUCCUAAUUUUUGAUUCUCAAUAGGAAAGUCAUGUUGAGUUACAGUAAUCAAGCAAUAGUUCAAACGAAAAGGCUAAAAAUAAUUUGAAAUAUUAUCAAAUUACAAAGUAUUGCUUCUCAUAAACAAAGCUGCACAUAAAAUUCAAACUAUUAUAAAUUCACAAUUAUGAAGAGCUAUUUAAAAGCAUGGAAAUUUUUACUUUGAAACUUUACAAACUGUUACAUGUGUGGGCUUCUAAAAAUAUGCCAUGUUAAAUGUAUCACGUUGUGGUAAACACAGUUAUAGGUGUAUCUCCAUGGUCGUGUAUCUUUUCAGAUGUUGCUAAGCAUCUUUAUGAAAAUCCCUUGGAGAUGAAUAAUGUGGGAACUGUCAGUGCAUUUCCAUCUGAUUCUUCCAAUUCCUACCCUAUAGCUAUCACAAUUAACUUCUUUUUCAGAGGGUCACACUAUUUAAGCUGAUACAGAACAAGCUCUGUAUCUUGGGCAGGUGACUAUUCAGUGCACUGAACGAUAGAUUUUAAAGCAGUCUCAACACAGCUCACAGUAGAUCCGUCAACCCAGUGUUUCUUCCAACUCACAGCGACCCCGAGCUUUACUGGCCACUACAGGGAUGUAAACGGGUGGACAGGUGGGGAAGGUGCUUAAAAACAGGAAUCUUCAGAAGGCCGUUUCUUCGUUGCAGUCAGGAACAUUGCACAUCUAAAACUCAUGUUAACCACCAUCUACUGGAAUGACUGGAAAAGUGGUAACUUGCCCGUUGUGCUUCCUUUUUCACACCACUGAGCCAAUGCAUUUUGGAUCUAAUAGAAUCCAAUCGUGGAACCAAAUGUUUACAAUUUUUCAAGAGCCAAUGUUCAACUGUAGGUGUUUUUUCGUUGAGUUACCUGUGUACAGAGUAAUACAGUAUAUUAAAAAACAAUGGCCUACGAAAGACAUUGUGUAUUAUGUUCCCUUGUAUCUUUGCAAAACCCAGCAUGAACAAUGAUGGGUUUUUUCUUUUAAAUGGCCUUUUUAUACCAUUUGGCCAUUAUAAAUGACCAUUU
Bos taurus (domestic cattle) is the source of this 2540-nucleotide long non-coding RNA. Lineage: Eukaryota; Metazoa; Chordata; Mammalia; Artiodactyla; Bovidae. The record is from Ensembl.